Long non-coding RNA from Lutra lutra (Eurasian river otter), 2991 nucleotides. RefSeq lists it as uncharacterized. The transcript has 4 exons. The record is from RefSeq and is a predicted model, not a curated record. Lineage: Eukaryota; Metazoa; Chordata; Mammalia; Carnivora; Mustelidae.
GGCCAAACUGGGAGUUCUCCCUGCGACUCCCUAGAGGAAAAAAUGCACAUGCUCCACCCUCAAUCCCCUGUGUGUCCUCACUCAUGCCCUCCACUGCACCAUCUCCAAUGACCUCGUGAUCACAACAGUUCUCUCCCCUUCGGUCACACUGCCCUACCCCAGCUUCUCCACCCAGCUAUGAGAACAGUCCUGUUGAAAUGUUAAGUGAGAUCAAUUUUAAGUUCUCCUCUGCUCAGACCCUCCAUUGGCUCCCACUGCUCAAAGUAAAAGUUGAAGUCUUUUAUAAUCCUCCAAAGGCCCUACCUGUUCUUUGACCCCACCCCCUGCACCCAGCCUCUCUACCUGCAUCUCCUAUCACUCUUCCCUGUUGACUCCUCUGUUCCCACAGGGACUGCCUUGCUAUUCCUGCAAAAUGCCAGCAAGAUCCUAUUUCAGCACCUUUGAACUGGCUUUUACCUUUACUGGGACCUCUCUUUUCCCAUACUUGCAUGGCUUUCCCAAACUUCCCACCUCCUUCCAGUCUUGUUUCAAAUGUCAUCUCUCAGCGAAGCCGGCUGGGACAAUACUGUUUAAAAUCACCUCUUACCACACUCUUGUCCUUCAACCUGGCUGUUUUCUCUCUAACACUCUGGAAUUUGAGCUGUUAGAGGAGAUGACUGUGUCAGUUUUGUUCGUGGCUGGACCCCCAGGUUUCUAGAGCAAUUCUUGUUGCACAGUAAGAAAAGUAAACUUUUCUUGGGUUGGACUGAUUUAAACGUGGUUCCAAAUUCAGAUUUACAGAAGUGGUUCACAGCGAAAAAUGUGCCCAGGGUCUAUGCUCCAGUCUCUUUCCAUCCCAAACGAUCAACUUUGCGAUUCUGAAUUAUAUUUACACAAAUAUUAUGUCGUUUACUACACUCCCGUUCUUCCUGGUUAACAAACGUAGCAGCCUGUACACAGUCUUCCCUGCUUUCCCUUUUUGGCUCACAGUUCAUUUGGGGCAUCGUGCCUGAUGGUUUCCCCUACGUUUUCCACGGCUGCCUUCGGGUGUUUAUUCCGGCUCUGUUCUCCCCGCCGGUGUCCCUCAGUGGACACCCGCUGCCCUGGAGUCAGUGAAGGGCUCGAACACACCUCUGGCCCUGCCCGACCGGCUUUGCAAGCAUCUGGGCUGUUUUACCGGGCUCGUAGCACACCCACUGCCCAUACUAAUAAGCAGCCAAGGGAAUGUACAGAGAAAGCGCUAACAAAGUGGGGAUGUAGCUCAGUGGUAGAGCGCAUGCUUUGCAUGUAUGAGGCCCCGGGUUCGAUCCCCGGCAUCUCCAACGCUGGGUUGCGGUUUCUUUUUUUCCUUCCGUGCCAAGUUUUCAAAUGGCGAAUGUUCGCAGAGCUCUGCGGGCAAAUCCCGAAUCUGGAGUUCGCCCAGAUUGGAAAGAGCGGCGGCGGCGGCGGCGGCGGCGGGACCCACCCAAGACCCUACCUCUAAACUCCUGAUUAAAAUAUCACAAGGCUUGUUUCUGUGAAGGCUAUCAUGUUUUCUUCAAAACCAUGAUAUCACUGCAAAGCCAUGACACCACUGGAAAGGCCUACUCAAUUAUUUCUUAUUCUGAGAAUUUUCUCCCUUGGACAGAAAGAAUCCAAGUAAAUAUAAGAAAUUAAAUUUAGCCUGCUUCUACCACACUGCAGCAUCCCACAGGCUCCAGACCAACGAGCUGUAGGUGAGGCUGGGUGAAGAGGGCGGCUGGGUGAGACACCUCUGGAGGGACUGAUGGUCCUUUUGACGGUUCGCCAUCGCUGAGGAGAACACAGUGGGAGGAAUGCAGAGUAGACGCCAGGUUCCCUCACCCUCUGUGAAGUGUCUGUGCGUCAGCGGCGUCACCUGGAAACCGGGGACAACAAUGUUACGUACCUCCCGGGGUGGUUAGGCUCCUUUGAGGCGGACCCCUAAAACAGGACCGGACACCAUCAGCACAGAGCGUGCACCUGGCGCGGUAAUUACCACCGCUACGGUCUUCCCUGAGAGUACUUUUCCCUGGCCUGACUUCCACCAUAUAUUUCCAGCUCAUGCCUGCUUGCACUUUUUAAUAUUUCAUGUAUGGUUGCGUGGGCUUCUUGCCUUUUGUUGCCUUUUAACCCGUCACACUCGUUUAAGUUCUUUGAAGGAAUGCUCAAAAGACAUCCACCACCUUCUAAUACCACAGACCUCGAGGCCUGGACUGUAUUGGUUGAAGUGAACGGGUCAAGAAUGAGAAAAGACAAGAGUACGUGCAAAACUAUAAAAAGUAUUCAAACAUAUAUGCACGUACGUUCCAGAGACAGAUGACUGAAGUAAACAAAUUCACUGAAACUGUUCCAGAUAAAGAGGAAAAAAAACCAAUACCUUUCUACUGUUUCCGCCCGGUUUCGAACCGGGGACCUUUCGCGUGUUAGGCGAAUGUGAUAACCACUACACUACGGAAACAGAUGGCAAUACGUGUCUUUCGUGAGUCUAAUAAGACUUAUAGUCAUGGGCACUGCCAGGGUCUCUAUGCAACCCGGCAGGCAGAGUUCUUGGAACCAUUCCACGUGGGCCCCAGUAAUAUUGUCUAACUGCCCAGCUCCACCAAUUAGUAGAUCCGGAAACCAGUCACAUUCAGCAACUCAAAACAAAACAGGGAAUGAAAGAAAGCAGGCGUCGCAGCAAGGAAGGUAAAUGCGGCUUUGGAGGUUUGAGACUAGAUAAUUCUCUCCAUUUUGUCUCUUUCCUCUAGCAAGACAGCUCGAGGGUAAGUUUUCACCCAUUUUGAGCUGGAUUGACACUAACGAUCUAAAGGAUUAAGGAAAUGGUAAACACAUUCAAAGAAUAUGAGCUUUGAAUAUAUUUUGUCAAAAUGUAGAUAUAAAUUAGCCAAAAAUAAAAUUAGUUUUACAUAUGCUUCAGAAAUGAUUGUUUCUUCUAAAUUAGGUGGAAUUAUCUAUUAAAAAUAAAAAGGAUAUUGAAAUAUCAAAUUCUAAGUCAAUGUUAUUUAAAUAAAG